UACAUAGGGGGCGAGCGUUAUCCGGAAUUAUUGGGCGUAAAGGGUGAGUAGGCGGAUGUGAAAGUCUUUGGUGUAAGUGCAGUGCUUAACGCUGUGAUGCUAAAGAAACUUCAUGUCUAGAAUCAGAUAGAGGCAAGUGGAAUUCCAUGUGUAGCGGUAAAAUGCGUAAAUAUAUGGAGGAACACCAGUGGCGAAGGCGGCUUGCUGGGUCUGGAUUGACGCUGAGGCACGAAAGCGUGGGGAGCAAACAGG
Molecule: ribosomal RNA, 252 nt
Filed under: uncultured bacterium
Lineage: Bacteria
Description: partial 16S ribosomal RNA
Rfam family: Bacterial small subunit ribosomal RNA
Source: RNAcentral